This 1455-nucleotide ribosomal RNA is filed under the name Salmonella enterica subsp. enterica serovar Typhi. RNAcentral describes it as "bacterial SSU rRNA". It matches the Rfam family "Bacterial small subunit ribosomal RNA". RNAcentral also lists the same sequence under 1 other name. Lineage: Bacteria; Pseudomonadati; Pseudomonadota; Gammaproteobacteria; Enterobacterales; Enterobacteriaceae. The record is from RNAcentral.
AAAUUGAAGAGUUUGAUCAUGGCUCAGAUUGAACGCUGGCGGCAGGCCUAACACAUGCAAGUCGAACGGUAACAGGAAGCAGCUUGCUGCUUUGCUGACGAGUGGCGGACGGGUGAGUAAUGUCUGGGAAACUGCCUGAUGGAGGGGGAUAACUACUGGAAACGGUGGCUAAUACCGCAUAACGUCGCAAGACCAAAGAGGGGGACCUUCGGGCCUCUUGCCAUCAGAUGUGCCCAGAUGGGAUUAGCUUGUUGGUGAGGUAACGGCUCACCAAGGCGACGAUCCCUAGCUGGUCUGAGAGGAUGACCAGCCACACUGGAACUGAGACACGGUCCAGACUCCUACGGGAGGCAGCAGUGGGGAAUAUUGCACAAUGGGCGCAAGCCUGAUGCAGCCAUGCCGCGUGUAUGAAGAAGGCCUUCGGGUUGUAAAGUACUUUCAGCGGGGAGGAAGGUGUUGUGGUUAAUAACCGCAGCAAUUGACGUUACCCGCAGAAGAAGCACCGGCUAACUCCGUGCCAGCAGCCGCGGUAAUACGGAGGGUGCAAGCGUUAAUCGGAAUUACUGGGCGUAAAGCGCACGCAGGCGGUCUGUCAAGUCGGAUGUGAAAUCCCCGGGCUCAACCUGGGAACUGCAUUCGAAACUGGCAGGCUUGAGUCUUGUAGAGGGGGGUAGAAUUCCAGGUGUAGCGGUGAAAUGCGUAGAGAUCUGGAGGAAUACCGGUGGCGAAGGCGGCCCCCUGGACAAAGACUGACGCUCAGGUGCGAAAGCGUGGGGAGCAAACAGGAUUAGAUACCCUGGUAGUCCACGCCGUAAACGAUGUCUACUUGGAGGUUGUGCCCUUGAGGCGUGGCUUCCGGAGCUAACGCGUUAAGUAGACCGCCUGGGGAGUACGGCCGCAAGGUUAAAACUCAAAUGAAUUGACGGGGGCCCGCACAAGCGGUGGAGCAUGUGGUUUAAUUCGAUGCAACGCGAAGAACCUUACCUGGUCUUGACAUCCACAGAACUUUCCAGAGAUGGAUUGGUGCCUUCGGGAACUGUGAGACAGGUGCUGCAUGGCUGUCGUCAGCUCGUGUUGUGAAAUGUUGGGUUAAGUCCCGCAACGAGCGCAACCCUUAUCCUUUGUUGCCAGCGGUCCGGCCGGGAACUCAAAGGAGACUGCCAGUGAUAAACUGGAGGAAGGUGGGGAUGACGUCAAGUCAUCAUGGCCCUUACGACCAGGGCUACACACGUGCUACAAUGGCGCAUACAAAGAGAAGCGACCUCGCGAGAGUAAGCGGACCUCAUAAAGUGCGUCGUAGUCCGGAUUGGAGUCUGCAACUCGACUCCAUGAAGUCGGAAUCGCUAGUAAUCGUGGAUCAGAAUGCCACGGUGAAUACGUUCCCGGGCCUUGUACACACCGCCCGUCACACCAUGGGAGUGGGUUGCAAAAGAAGUAGGUAGCUUAACCUUCGGG